ACAAAAGGGAAAGAGGAGUGCUCAAAGCAGCCUUCCUCCUGCCAAAGCCUGACUCAUCGGCCGUGCUCCAGCUUGGCUCUCCGAGCAAAAGGCCGGCUCUGCUCGUGGAGCCAACCAGAGCCGGGGCUGGCCCGGAGGAGAGGGAAGCAGGGCAGGAGGCCAAAGGCAGGGACGCCCCAGACGCUCGGGCCGGCGAGCCAGGGCUCUGGCUCCUCAUAAAGGGCCCUUGUGCGUUAGGCCCGGGCCGCCAGGCCCUGUAGGCCUGGGGUCCGGGGGGGCUGUGGGGCCGCUGGAGCACUGAGUCGGCACCCACGCUCCACACGAACUCUGACCUUGUCCCACGAGAGACCAGACAGCUCUGAGGAGACGGACCACCGCCUCCAAAAGCCUCUCUCCUUCCAUAAUCGCUGGAAAAAUCUCUGCUGACAACAUUUGCAGGAUUUCACAAGGCCCCACCUCCACCACCAAAAGCCCAACACAACACAGCGUGGCAGAAAUGCCAAAGCCGUGCCUUCAAGAACCAGGGCGAGAACUGGGACCUCACCAGCCAAGUGCCACCUACCAGAGUGUUCGCUUCACGGAACGCCCACGGAUGCGCAUAAACCCCAAUUCAGGCUACUUUUGGGGGACCUCCUUAGAACAACAACGGGGUUUGCUCAGGAACAGGGCCAGGGGAAACGUAAGCCACCCACAGCCUGAGCGCCUCCUGGACAAAGGGGACAUUUGAAAGGUGUCAAUAAAGUGCUUCUCCAAGCAACAUGUUUUCCACCUCAAACGGAGAAUUUUGCUUGACAGUUCCAAAAACAUGUUUUUAAACCCAGUAAAUAAAAGAGGGAAUUGUAGGGAUAUUUCACCAAAUCUUGCCUCACACAUAUUUUAUCACAUUCUGCACUGGAACUAGUACGCGAAGUUCCUUUUAGGAACAUUCACUGAGAAGACAAAAUAUAGAUUUAUUAAAGAAAAGAAGAU
Molecule: long non-coding RNA, 969 nt
Organism: Acinonyx jubatus (cheetah)
Lineage: Eukaryota; Metazoa; Chordata; Mammalia; Carnivora; Felidae
Exons: 2
Source: RefSeq, a predicted model, not a curated record